Molecule: non-coding RNA, 589 nt
Organism: Symphalangus syndactylus (siamang)
Lineage: Eukaryota; Metazoa; Chordata; Mammalia; Primates; Hylobatidae
Source: the annotation of a RefSeq genome assembly
CUGACAGCAAGGCUCUGGGGCCCAGGCAGGGAGAAUGCGGUCUCAGAAUGACGCCCUUGAAAGACGUGUUCCCUUUUCACCAAUGCACAGACCCAGAAGACCCCUCCGUCCUGCAGCCCCUGCCGUGAGCCUUGGGCUCCUGUGCUGUGCGGCCUUUUCUCUCCUGUGGGCAGGUCCAGUGAAUGCUGGUGUCACUCAGACCCCAAAAUUCCAGGUCCUGAAGACAGGACAGAGCAUGACACUGCAGUGUGCCCAGGAUAUGAACCAUAACUACAUGUACUGGUAUCGACAAGACCCAGGCAUGGGGCUGAGGCUGAUUCAUUACUCAACUGGUGAGGGUACCACUGACAAAGGAGAAGUCCCCGAUGGCUACGAUGUCUCCAGAUCAAACACACAGAAUUUCCUGCUCAGGCUGGAGUCGGCUGCUCCCUCCCAGACAUCUGUGUACUUCUGUGCCAGCAGUGAAGCCACAGUGCUGCACGGCCGUCUCCUCUCUGCACAGAAAGGCAGAGGAGGCUCUGCCCUCCUCCCCAGCCCAGACUCAGUGAUGCCCUUGGUCCUAGCACCGGAAACUUUGGAGCCCCAGUGA